Molecule: ribosomal RNA, 497 nt
Filed under: uncultured bacterium
Lineage: Bacteria
Description: partial 16S ribosomal RNA
Rfam family: Bacterial small subunit ribosomal RNA
Source: RNAcentral
GACGAACGCUGGCGGCGUGCCUAAUACAUGCAAGUAGAACGCUGAAGAGAGGAGCUUGCUCUUCUUGGAUGAGUUGCGAACGGGUGAGUAACGCGUAGGUAACCUGCCUUGUAGCGGGGGAUAACUAUUGGAAACGAUAGCUAAUACCGCAUAACAAUGGAUGACCCAUGUCAUUUAUUUGAAAGGGGCAAAUGCUCCACUACAAGAUGGACCUGCGUUGUAUUAGCUAGUAGGUGAGGUAACGGCUCACCUAGGCGACGAUACAUAGCCGACCUGAGAGGGUGAUCGGCCACACUGGGACUGAGACACGGCCCAGACUCCUACGGGAGGCAGCAGUAGGGAAUCUUCGGCAAUGGGGGCAACCCUGACCGAGCAACGCCGCGUGAGUGAAGAAGGUUUUCGGAUCGUAAAGCUCUGUUGUAAGUCAAGAACGAGUGUGAGAGUGGAAAGUUCACACUGUGACGGUAGCUAACCAGAAAGGGACGGCUAACUACGUG